UACAGAGGUCUCAAGCGUUGUUCGGAUUCAUUGGGCGUAAAGGGUGUGUAGGUGGCGCCGUAAGUCGGGUGUGAAAUUUCGGAGCUUAACUCCGAAACUGCAUUCGAUACUGCGGUGCUUGAGGACUGGAGAGGAGACUGGAAUUUACGGUGUAGCGGUGAAAUGCGUAGAUAUCGUAAGGAAGACCAGUGGCGAAGGCGGGUCUCUGGACAGUUCCUGACACUGAGACACGAAGGCCAGGGGAGCAAACGGG
This 253-nucleotide ribosomal RNA is filed under the name uncultured bacterium. RNAcentral describes it as "partial 16S ribosomal RNA". It matches the Rfam family "Bacterial small subunit ribosomal RNA", at positions 524 to 776 of the family's 1533-position model. The record is from RNAcentral.